This 791-nucleotide unclassified non-coding RNA is filed under the name Hevea brasiliensis (rubber tree). The record is from RNAcentral. Lineage: Eukaryota; Viridiplantae; Streptophyta; Magnoliopsida; Malpighiales; Euphorbiaceae.
GGUGGAGAGGAUGAUUGAACUGAGAGUGGCCGAUACAGCCGUACAGGAGUGGAGCAAUCAGGCUGCAUUUACUGCUGAUUUGCUGAGGGCUCUCCGUGAUGAUGCAUGGAGGAACAUCGUUCCAGGGCUUCCUGCAGUUGUGCUUCGAUGCACUUGCAAGCUUUCUAAUGCAGUCGCCACGGGGACUAUCUUGGCCACCAGACAGGUUAGAAAGAAGAUCGUGAAAGAUUGGCUUCCAGUGUUGAUUUUGUGCAAAGACUAUGUAACACCGAUGAUGCCAAGUCACAAAACAAUAUAUGUGGAGCUGGAAGACACGUUUUUGAGUAUUAUAUCCACGCUUCCCUUGUCUGAUGCCCAGGAGCUAUUGCAACAGUGUCUCAGCUUUUCAACUAGAAAUGUUGAAGACUGUCCUCACUUAAUAAGCGCGUUUACCACCUGGUUCCGACGAGCAAAUAGAUUCCCCCUACCAGAUAUGUGAUUGGCUCGGUGGAUAAGCAUGAGGACAGUUUGGUGGCUAAUGUCCAUACUAGUAUCUCCAUUGUAAGAGACACUGCUAUUUGUACAUAAAACGUGUUGUCUCACCUUUGUACCAGAAGUUACGUGGGUUUGUUACUUGGUGUUGUGCAGUAUCCUCGACUGUAAGCAUUGGUUAUUAAGAGAAUGACCAGCAUGUACAUAAGACGUUGUGGCGUAUGAAAUCUGCCCCUUUUAUGUCUUUUAAUAGCAUUUCUUUCUCUCUUUCAUUCAGGGAGGUAGAAAUUGGCUUCCCCUAUCAUCAGGCUUGUUUUUUG